RNAcentral lists this ribosomal RNA (229 nucleotides) under uncultured fungus. Its description in RNAcentral is "partial large subunit ribosomal RNA". Lineage: Eukaryota; Fungi. The record is from RNAcentral.
CAAUUUCAAUCACUAUUAAAUGACUGGCGGAAUGUAGCUUCGAUUUCGGUUGAAGUGUUAUAGCCUCUGGUAGAUGUGGUGAUUGGGACUGAGGAUUGCAACGAAUAUCCUUUGGGCUAUCCGUCUGGCCUCUGAAAGUUGCUUGGGUGCUGAAAGCUUGCUUAUGGUUAUCUAAGUUAACGGUCAAUAGGUUAGAACGUGAUUACAUUCGUUAAGGAUGUUGACGUAA